This is a long non-coding RNA of Solanum tuberosum (potato), 670 nucleotides long. RefSeq lists it as uncharacterized. Lineage: Eukaryota; Viridiplantae; Streptophyta; Magnoliopsida; Solanales; Solanaceae. The record is from RefSeq and is a predicted model, not a curated record. The transcript is spliced from 2 exons.
GGUAGUGUUGCCAUUUUACUUCCAAUUUUACACAAAAACCACAACUUCAUCCACUUUUUAUCUUAACACGCGUCCCUUCAGGCUUCCAUCUUCCUCCACCUUGGUUGCUUCCUGUUCUGCUCGCUGAAGUUUACCGCUUUGCUUCUGCUUGAUGUCGCUUUUUCAAUUCAGGUAAAUUGUUGAAGAUGCAACAAAAUCUGGACCAAGGAUAGUUUCAUCAUUUGGUGUCCUUUUGGGUUUUCGCGUGAUUUAAACACAGUAGCAACUCACGCUCUUCCCACUGACAAUUACCAAGGAGAAAAAAUGGGCACUCCUUCUUCCCUCUUUGCUUCCUUCUUUGGUUUGCUGUUUCUUUAUCAUUCUUAAUUCAAACUUUUCUAUUUCUUUUUAUACAUCAAACAUCUAUUGUCCACAUAUAGCUGGUCAUAAGAGUUGUUGUCGAGGUCCUAUUUUGUUUUCACCUUCAUGUAUUGAUUUCAUUUGCUUCAAUUUGACUUGCUAGAGUAUAUAUAUAGCAUGUUGUUGCUUUACCGUUGCGUGGUUGGUCCUACAAUGAGUAGCUUUAGAUCUUCCUAAAGACUAGGCUGUUUUGGUCAUUUCAAUAAGCCUUCUGAGGCACUAGCUGUCCUGUAUCUAACUCUUAACAUGGUUGUGCUUUGUUUUGUUUCUA